This is a long non-coding RNA of Lotus japonicus, 582 nucleotides long. RefSeq lists it as uncharacterized. Lineage: Eukaryota; Viridiplantae; Streptophyta; Magnoliopsida; Fabales; Fabaceae. The transcript has 4 exons. The record is from RefSeq and is a predicted model, not a curated record.
CAAAGGUUGACUCUCUAAUCAAAUGGUGGUACUUAGAGGUGGUCAGGUUGCAUCAGCCGUUAGCACUACUGAUCAUCAUGCUGGAAAUUUUGAAGCCAAAUUUUAUGAUAUGCAAUAAUAGCUCAUGGAUCUCUCACAAAACAAGGAGUAGAAGCAGGCAUUGAGAAAAAGCAUUGUAAGGGAACUUGCUGAUGAUUUGAGAGCUCAGAUCAAAAGGGGAUUAAAGUGCAGCCAAUUAUCCAUACAAAUUGUUUAGUGCGUAAUACUCAGGCAUUUGGAUAUUGUAUGGCAUCCUUUCUUUCAAAUUGGAGAACCUGCAUUUGAAAUUUAAAAUGACUUGAUAUAAACAAUAGAAUGUUAUACCUUAUGAUCUUUUAAUUUUUCCUUUUUUUAUUGUUUUUUUGGAUAAGCAAACUUUAUAUAAAAGGAAGUACAAGAGAUAGAAAAUAACAAACCAAUACAGAAAACAGAAUUGAGUUAAGGAAGAAAACCAGCUUGAGAGUAACGAAAUCUACUCCUAGACCAAGCUAAUCAGAUACCCACAACCCAUUUAAAUCCAAAUGCCCCUUUUCCCAGCCUUGG